CCCCUAGUAACGGCGAGUGAAGCGGGAAGAGCCCAGCGUCGAACUGCUUUCCUUUCGGAGAGCGGAAUGUGACGUUUGGGAGAUUCGUAUUCCCUGGCGACCGUGAGAGACCCAAAGUUCUUUUGAUUAAGGCCUUUCCCAUCGAGGGUGUCAGGCCCGUAUCGGGUCCUCUGGUUGUUAGGUUAUGGAUCCUCCUUAGAGUCGGGUUGUUUGGGAAUGCAGCCCAAAGUGGGUGGUAAACUCCAUCUAAGGCUAAAUAUUCGGACGAGACCGAUAGCGAACAAGUACCGUGAGGGAAAGUUGAAAAGCACUUUGAAGAGAGAGUUCAAUAGUACGUGAAACCGUUGAGAGGUAAACGGUGAAGGCAUCAAAGGUGCCCAUCGCGACUCAUUCGUAUCCUGCAUUACGCCCGGUUUAGGUUAUUGCUUCAUGCAGGCCUUUGUUGGUGUCGGCAGUGUAGGAGGCGGCGCACUUCGCGUUGGGUUCAGUCACGACCGAUUGCCCGGGGGUGUUAUACUGGCGCUGGUGGGGGGCAUUUUUUGUCCUUUCAAGUGUCGGGCGGCGGCCUUCUGGGCGAUUGUAGUAGUGUGGAAUGCUGGCCUUUCGGGGCGGCCGUUCCUGGGUCGGCGUCCAAUGGCGGUGCUUGACUGCUUGCAGUGAUGUUGUCGUCGGCGGCGUAGGCUUGGGUAAUGGGUCUUGGCGUUCCCCGUCCGUGGCGGUAUGGAUGUCCUUUACCGACCCGUCUUGAAACACGGACCAAGGAGUCUAACAUGUGUGCGAGUCUCAAGGGAGUGUAAACCCGCGGGCGCAAUGAAAGUGAUUAGGUGGGAAGCCGUCUUUGAUGGUCGCACCGCCGUCCCGUCCGAGUGUAUUUUAUACUGGGCGGAGAAGGAGCAUACACGUUGGGACCCGAAAGAUGGUGAACUAUGCCUGAGCAGGAUGAAGCCAGGGGAAACCCUGGUGGAGGUCCGUAGCGAUUCUGACGUGCAAAUCGAUCGUCUGAUUUGGGUAUAGGGGCGA
Molecule: ribosomal RNA, 1020 nt
Filed under: Protodrilus sp. 18 MDD-2014
Lineage: Eukaryota; Metazoa; Annelida; Polychaeta; Protodrilidae
Description: eukaryotic LSU rRNA
Rfam family: Eukaryotic large subunit ribosomal RNA
Source: RNAcentral